This 1356-nucleotide ribosomal RNA is filed under the name Adhemarius dariensis. RNAcentral's name for it is "16S ribosomal RNA". The record is from RNAcentral. Lineage: Eukaryota; Metazoa; Arthropoda; Insecta; Lepidoptera; Sphingidae.
GGGGUAAAAUUAAUGAGGUUAGAUAAUAAUAAAAAAAAUUUUAAUGUUAAAAUAUGAUAAUUGGGGGGUUAGAGUAUUUUAAUAGAAAAAAUUUUAAAAUUUAUAGUUGAUUAGUAUUGUGUGAGAAAUUUGAAAUAUGUUGAAAUAUGUAUUUUUUAUAAAGUAGAUUUAGUUUAUUGUAUCUUGUGUAUCAGAGUUUAUUAAUUUUUUUUUAUGAUUUAAAUUUCUCGAAUUUAAAAGAGUUAAUUAAUUAUUAGGUUUAUUGUUUCAUAAAUAUUUUAAAUAAUUGAUUAGAAAUGAAAUGUUAUUCGUUUUUAAAUAUAUCUAGUUUUUUAAAAAAAAAAUUUAAUUUUUAAUUAAUAGGUAAAUUAGUUGAUUUUUUAUAACUGAUUUUAAUUAUUAAUUUUAUAUUUUAAGGGAUAAGCUUUAAAUUAAAUUUUUAUAAUUGAUAUUUUUUUAUAUUGAAAAUUUUAUAAUUUGAAUUGUUAAUAAAUUUUAUUUUAUUAUAAAUAAUUUCAUUAAAUUUAAGAUUUAAUUUAAAUUUAAUAUUUUAUUAAAAAGAAAAUAUAAAUUAUUUAUAUUAAAUUAUAAUGAUAAAAUUAGUAUAUAACUAUAUUUUAUAUUUUGAAUAAAAUUUAUAUUUUAAAUAAAUAUUUAAAAGGAAUUCGACAAAAAUUUAUAUUCACCUGUUUAUCAAAAACAUGUCUUUUUGAUGAUAAUUUAAAGUCUAAUCUGCCCACUGAUUAAUUAAUUGAAGGGCUGCAGUAUAUUGACUGUACAAAGGUAGCAUAAUCAUUAGUCUCUUAAUUGGUGACUUGUAUGAAAGAUUGGAUGAAAUAUAGAUUGUCUCUUAAAUAUAGGGUUGAAUUUAAUUUUUUAAUUAAAAAGUUAAAAUAAUUUAAAAAGACGAGAAGACCCUAUAGAGUUUUAUAAUUAUUUAAUUUUGACUUAUAAAUUGGUUUAAUUAAUUUAAAUUUAAUUUAAUUAUUUUAUUGGGGUGAUAAAAAAAUUAAAUUAACUUUUUUUAAUUUAAUUCAUUAAUUUAUGAGUUAUUGAUCCAGUAUUAUUGAUUAUAAGAAAAAAUUACCUUAGGGAUAACAGCGUAAUUUUUUUUUUUAGUACUUAUAAGAAAGAGAGUUUGCGACCUCGAUGUUGGAUUAAGAUAAAAUUUAAAUGUAAAAGUUUAAAAUUUUUGAUCUGUUCGAUCAUUAAAAUCUUACAUGAUCUGAGUUCAAACCGGUGUAAGCCAGGUUGGUUUCUAUCUUUUAAUUAUUUUAAUAUUUUAGUACGAAAGGAGUAAGUAUUAUAAUUAAAUUAAUUUUUAAGAAUUUUAUUAAUAAUUGAAUAAACUUAUUA